Molecule: small RNA, 28 nt
Filed under: Bombyx mori (domestic silkworm)
Lineage: Eukaryota; Metazoa; Arthropoda; Insecta; Lepidoptera; Bombycidae
Description: ovarian small RNA-5411
Source: RNAcentral
GCUUAUCAAACAAGAGGUGGUGUAUCGU